Molecule: RNA transcript, 1029 nt
Organism: Chiroxiphia lanceolata (lance-tailed manakin)
Lineage: Eukaryota; Metazoa; Chordata; Aves; Passeriformes; Pipridae
Gene: FAM174A
Gene name: family with sequence similarity 174 member A
Exons: 4
Source: RefSeq, a predicted model, not a curated record
GGACGAGUGGGACAUGCGGCUGCGGGCGCUGCGCGGCCUCCUGGCGGGGCUGCUGCUGCUGCUGCUGCUCGCCAGCUGCGGGGAGGCUGCGGCCCCGCGGCCCCGAGACGCCUCCACCGCCUCCCCGAGCCCCACGGAGGCGGCCGGCGGGGCCGCCACGCGGAGCAGCAGCAGCAGCAGCCGCCUGGCCGAGGUGUCGGCGCCGCCCGAGCAGGGCCAGCCCAUGACCCAGCGCGCCUUGUCCGUUCUGGUGCUGGCGAGCGCCACUCUCAUCGUCUACUUCGUGAUCCGGACCGUGCGGCUCAGAAGGCGAAACAGAAAAACCCGAAGAUAUGGAGUUUUGGACACAAACAUAGAAAACAUGGAGCUGACCCCAUUAGAGCAAGAUGAUGAUGAUGAUGAUACAACACUGUUUGAUGCCAAUCAUCCUCGAAGUUGGAGAAGGGAUGUCAAGAUCACUUGAAUUUUAAAUGGGCGAGAAUUUAGUGGGCAAGAAGAUAAGCACCAUUUGUCUUCAGCAUGUGAAUUCCAGAGAAAUGGAGAGGAAGAGAAGUACGUGCCUUUCAGUGAAAGAACUUAAUCUUAGAACCAGAGAAGGAGACUGCUUCAUGGGAGAAAUAAGAAGCAAGAGGGUAUGCAAGUGGGGGGGGGCUAAUUUAAUUUGUGUAUAUUAUGGCAUCCUUAAUUUCUUGCAAUAAGUAAUGUACCAAUUUGUUGUACCUUUUUGUAUAUAGAGGAUUCUAAAUGUAUAGCCUAUGCGGAGAGAGUGCUAACUGCACUAAAAUAAAAACCUAUUUGGAAGGGAGGUUACUUGUAAAACAGGGGUUUUUUUGCUUGUUACAAAUCUUGUAUGCCAUUAAGUGUGGUAUACACUUUUUUCCUACAGUAAUCUGGAAUGUUAAUUUUAUUUUUUUUCUGAUACUAAAUUGUAAGUAAAUAUAACCACUGUGGACUCCUCAGAAUUGUUAGAACUUAAUUUUAAUUGGGGAGAUGCUUUACUGUUUACAAAUAAAAAAACAAACUACUGCC